RNAcentral lists this ribosomal RNA (253 nucleotides) under uncultured bacterium. RNAcentral describes it as "partial 16S ribosomal RNA". It matches the Rfam family "Bacterial small subunit ribosomal RNA", at positions 524 to 776 of the family's 1533-position model. The record is from RNAcentral.
UACGAAGGGGGCUAGCGUUGUUCGGAAUUACUGGGCGUAAAGCGCACGUAGGCGGAUUUGUAAGUCAGGGGUGAAAUCCCGGGGCUCAACCUCGGAACUGCCUUUGAUACUGCAAAUCUCGAGUCCGAUAGAGGUGGGUGGAAUUCCUAGUGUAGAGGUGAAAUUCGUAGAUAUUAGGAAGAACACCGGUGGCGAAGGCGGCCCACUGGAUCAGUACUGACGCUGAGGUGCGAAAGCGUGGGGAGCAAACAGG